GGCGACGUGGCCGAGUGGUUAGGCACGGGUCUGCAAAACCCUCUACGGGAGUUCGAAUCUCCCCGUCGCCU
RNAcentral lists this transfer RNA (71 nucleotides) under Pseudomonadota bacterium. RNAcentral describes it as "tRNA-Cys". It matches the Rfam family "tRNA". From Rfam's summary of the family: Transfer RNA (tRNA) molecules are approximately 80 nucleotides in length. Their secondary structure includes four short double-helical elements and three loops (D, anti-codon, and T loops). Lineage: Bacteria; Pseudomonadati; Pseudomonadota. RNAcentral also lists the same sequence under 1 other name. The record is from RNAcentral.